ACGGCGGACGGGUGAGUAACGCGUGGGUAACCUACCCUGUACACACGGAUAACAUACCGGAAGGUAUGCUAAUACGGGAUAAUAUAUUUGAGAGGCAUCUCUUAAAUGUCAAAGGUGAGCCAGUACAGGAUGGACCCGCGUCUGAUUAGCUAGUUGGUAAGGUAACGGCUUACCAAGGCGACGAUCAGUAGCCGACCUGAGAGGGUGAUCGGCCACAUUGGAACUGAGACACGGUCCAA
This 239-nucleotide ribosomal RNA is filed under the name uncultured bacterium. RNAcentral's name for it is "partial 16S ribosomal RNA". It matches the Rfam family "Bacterial small subunit ribosomal RNA", at positions 95 to 334 of the family's 1533-position model. The record is from RNAcentral.